AGAGUUUGAUCCUGGCUCAGGAUGAACGCUGGCGGCGUGCUUAACACAUGCAAGUCGAACGAACCUUCGGGUUAGUGGCGGACGGGUGAGUAACGCGUGGGAAUCUGCCCUCAAGAGGGGGAUAACGGCUGGAAACGGCCGCUAAUACCCCAUAUGCCGAGAGGUGAAAAGAAAUUCGCCUGAGGAUGAGCCCGCGUCUGAUUAGCUAGUUGGUGGGGUAAGAGCUCACCAAGGCGACGAUCAGUAGCUGGUCUGAGAGGACGAUCAGCCACACUGGGACUGAGACACGGCCCAGACUCCUACGGGAGGCAGCAGUGGGGAAUUUUCCGCAAUGGGCGAAAGCCUGACGGAGCAACGCCGCGUGAGGGAUGAAGGCCUCUGGGCUGUAAACCUCUUUUCUCAAGGAAGAAGACAUGACGGUACUUGAGGAAUAAGCCACGGCUAAUUCCGUGCCAGCAGCCGCGAUAAUACGGGAGUGGCAAGCGUUAUCCGGAAUUAUUGGGCGUAAAGCGUCCGCAGGCGGCCCUGUAAGUCUGUCGUUAAAGCGUGGAGCUUAACUCCAUUUAAGCGAUGGAAACUACAGGGCUUGAGUGUGGUAGGGGCAGAGGGAAUUCCCGGUGUAGCGGUGAAAUGCGUAGAUAUCGGGAAGAACACCAGUGGCGAAGGCGCUCUGCUGGGCCAUAACUGACGCUCAUGGACGAAAGCCAGGGGAGCGAAAGGGAUUAGAUACCCCUGUAGUCCUGGCCGUAAACGAUGAACACUGGGUGUCGGGGGAAUCGACCCCCUCGGUGUCGUAGCCAACGCGUUAAGUGUUCCGCCUGGGGAGUACGCACGCAAGUGUGAAACUCGAAGGAAUUGACGGGGGCCUGCACAAGCGGUGGAGUAUGUGGUUUAAUUCGAUGCAACGCGAAGAACCUUACCAGGGUUUGACAUCCUGCGAAUCCCUUGGAAACGAGGGAGUGCCUUCGGGAGCGCAGAGACAGGUGGUGCAUGGCUGUCGUCAGCUCGUGUCGUGAGAUGUUGGGUUAAGUCCCGCAACGAGCGCAACCCACGUCUUUAGUUGCCAGCAUUCAGUUGGGCACUCUAGAGAGACCGCCGGUGAUAAACCGGAGGAAGGUGUGGAUGACGUCAAGUCAUCAUGCCCCUUACAUCCUGGGCUACACACGUACUACAAUGCUACGGACAAAGGGCAGCAAGCUCGCGAGAGUUAGCAAAUCCCAUAAACCGUGGCUCAGUUCAGAUCGUAGGCUGCAACUCGCCUACGUGAAGGAGGAAUCGCUAGUAAUCGCAGGUCAGCAUACUGCGGUGAAUACGUUCCCGGGCCUUGUACACACCGCCCGUCACACCAUGGAAGUUGGCCAUGCCCGAGGUCGUUACUCCAACC
Molecule: ribosomal RNA, 1384 nt
Filed under: metagenome
Description: bacterial SSU rRNA
Rfam family: Bacterial small subunit ribosomal RNA
Source: RNAcentral